CAGCAGCCGCGGUAAUACCGGCGGCCCGAGUGGCGGUCACUAUUAUUGGGCUUAAAGCGUCCGUAGCCGGGUUGGGAAGUCCUCCGGGAAAUCUGGCCGCUUAACGGUCAGAAUGCCGGAGGAUACUCCCAGCCUAGGGAGCGGGGGAGGCCGAGGGGAUUCCCGGAGUAGGGGUGAAAUCCUAUAAUCCCGGGAGGACCACCGGUGGCGAAGGCGCUCGGCUGGAACGCGUCCGACGGUGAGGGACGAAGGCCAGGGGAGCAAACCGGAUUAGAUACCCGGGUAGUCCUGGCUGUAAACGAUGCGGACUUUGUGUCGGACAAGCUAUGAGCUUGUCCGGUGCCGGAGGGAAACCGUUAAGUCCGCCGCCUGGGGAGUACGGCCGCAAGGCUGAAACUUAAAGGAAUUGGCGGG
RNAcentral lists this ribosomal RNA (414 nucleotides) under uncultured microorganism. Its description in RNAcentral is "bacterial SSU rRNA". It matches the Rfam family "Archaeal small subunit ribosomal RNA", at positions 459 to 872 of the family's 1478-position model. The record is from RNAcentral.